UAAGUGAUGGCGACCGGCGCACGGGUGAGUAACACGUAUCCAACCUGCCCUUUACUCGGGGAUAGCCUUUCGAAAGAAAGAUUAAUACCCGAUAGCAUAAUGAUUCCGCAUGGUUUCAUUAUUAAAGGAUUCCGGUAAAGGAUGGGGAUGCGUUCCAUUAGGUUGUUGGUGAGGUAACGGCUCACCAAGCCUUCGAUGGAUAGGGGUUCUGAGAGGAAGGUCCCCCACAUUGGAACUGAGACACGGUCCAA
This 251-nucleotide ribosomal RNA is filed under the name uncultured bacterium. RNAcentral's name for it is "partial 16S ribosomal RNA". It matches the Rfam family "Bacterial small subunit ribosomal RNA", at positions 81 to 334 of the family's 1533-position model. The record is from RNAcentral.